Molecule: ribosomal RNA, 207 nt
Filed under: uncultured bacterium
Lineage: Bacteria
Description: partial 16S ribosomal RNA
Rfam family: Bacterial small subunit ribosomal RNA
Source: RNAcentral
UGCGUAGGUGGUGAUGCAAGUCUGGUGUGAAAUCUCGGAGCUUAACCCCGAAAUUGCACCGGAUACUGCGUUGCUCGAGGACUGUAGAGGAGAUCGGAAUUCACGGUGUAGCAGUGAAAUGCGUAGAUAUCGUGAGGAAGACCAGUUGCGAAGGCGGAUCUCUGGGCAGUUCCUGACACUGAGGCACGAAGGCCAGGGGAGCAAACG